Molecule: ribosomal RNA, 497 nt
Filed under: uncultured bacterium
Lineage: Bacteria
Description: partial 16S ribosomal RNA
Rfam family: Bacterial small subunit ribosomal RNA
Source: RNAcentral
GAUGAACGCUGGCGGCGUGCCUAAUACAUGCAAGUCGAGCGAACGGACGAGAAGCUUGCUUCUCUGAUGUUAGCGGCGGACGGGUGAGUAACACGUGGAUAACCUACCUAUAAGACUGGGAUAACUUCGGGAAACCGGAGCUAAUACCGGAUAAUAUUUUGAACCGCAUGGUUCAAAAGUAAAAGACGGUCUUGCUGUCACUUAUAGAUGGAUCCGCGCUGCAUUAGCUAGUUGGUAAGGUAACGGCUUACCAAGGCAACGAUGCAUAGCCGACCUGAGAGGGUGAUCAGCCACACUGGAACUGAGACACGGUCCAGACUCCUACGGGAGGCAGCAGUAGGGAAUCUUCCGCAAUGGGCGAAAGCCUGACGGAGCAACGCCGCGUGAGUGAUGAAGGUCUUCGGAUUGUAAAACUCUGUUAUUAGGGAAGAACAUAUGUGUAAGUAACUGUGCACAUCUUGACGGUACCUAAUCAGAAAGCCACGGCUAACUACGUG